RNAcentral lists this ribosomal RNA (524 nucleotides) under uncultured Syndiniales. Its description in RNAcentral is "bacterial SSU rRNA". It matches the Rfam family "Eukaryotic small subunit ribosomal RNA", at positions 604 to 1132 of the family's 1831-position model. The record is from RNAcentral. Lineage: Eukaryota; Dinophyceae; Syndiniales.
UUAAAGUUGUUGCGGUAAAAAGCUCGUAGUUGGACUUCUACUGAGGAUGGCCCGUCCGCACUACGUGCGUGUAUCUGGUUCAGCCUCGGUAUCCUCUCGGGGAGCGUUGCUGCGCUUCAUUGCGUGGCGCGGGACUCGGGACUUUUACUUUGAGGAAAUUAGAGUGUUCACGGCAGGCAAUCGCCCUGAAUAUGUCAGCAUGGAAUAAUAAGAUAGGACCUUUGCCCAAUUUUGUUGGUUUCUAGAGCGAAGGUAAUGAUUAAUAGGGAUAAUUGGGGGCAUUUGUAUCAACGCGUCUGAGGUGGAAUUUUUUUAUUGCGUUGCGACAAACUACUGCGAAAGCAUUUGCCAAGGAUGUUUUCAUUGAUCAAGAACGAAAGUAAGGGGAUCGAAGACGAUUAGAUACCGUCGUAGUCUUUACCAUAAACUAUGUCAACUCAGGAUCGGCAGUCGUUCUUUUUAUGACUCUGUCGGCACUGUAUGAGAUAUCAUAAGUUUUUGGAUUCCGGGGGGAGUAUGGUCGC